RNAcentral lists this transfer RNA (60 nucleotides) under Typosyllis antoni. RNAcentral's name for it is "tRNA-Met". The record is from RNAcentral. Lineage: Eukaryota; Metazoa; Annelida; Polychaeta; Phyllodocida; Syllidae.
AGUAAAGUAAACUAAAAAAGUUUUUGGAUUCAUAAUCCAACCAUGGUUCUCCCUUUAUUA